Balaenoptera ricei (Rice's whale) is the source of this 981-nucleotide long non-coding RNA. RefSeq lists it as uncharacterized. The record is from RefSeq and is a predicted model, not a curated record. Lineage: Eukaryota; Metazoa; Chordata; Mammalia; Artiodactyla; Balaenopteridae. The transcript has 3 exons.
GAGCAAUCAACGGCUGGGCAAUGUGCUGAAACCUGGGAGGGAGCAGCCUGGUGACACUGAAAGGCCAGCUUGGGGGAGAUUGCAGAUUUAAAGCCAAGGCCAGGAAAGCCUUAUUAAAAGCAGGUUUGCUCUGAUUCCUGGCUCCAGGAACUAGAAGGGCUCAUUGCUGGGCCAGGGAUGUUCCCUUCGUAGGCUGUCUGCCUGUGGCUGGAAGACUUCUCUGUGUCUGGGGGACUACGCAGUUCCCAGGCCUGCGCGUGGCACGGGGGCUCUGGGAAGACACAGAACAUGUAACAAAACAGACGGCACGUGUUCCUUCAGCCACUGGAAAACAGAACCAUGGACAGACCAAGAGGAGGCUGCUGACGCUGGAGGUGCGUAAAAGGUGAGGCAUUGCCCCACAAACUGCAUCCCGCACAGCAGCGAAAGUCCAAGGAGAUGGCAUUCUCCUCCCACCCCUGCCAGUGACCAGCUGGACUUAAGCAAGUGUUUCACCUCUCCAGAACUGAGCUUCUCCUCUCCUAACGAGUGGUGAAAAGAGAUGAUGUGCGGGGUCACUUCCUGCAAAAACGCAUGGAACUGAAAGUUCUGCAUUGCGUGGUUCUCCACAGUAUGUGCUCACGCAGCUGCGUAGCCUCAAGGCAUCAGGAGUUUCCAGCGGCUUUCAUGCACAGGUAAUGGGAAGGGUUGUCUUCACAGCUUAGUGUCAGUACCCAGAUAUCCUCGUGAUAAAGUCAGCUUCAGAGUCUAAACUGCAAUGUACUCCAGGUUCAACAACUCAGUAUGAGAGAAGAAGUCUUAGACACUCUGGGAAAACAUCACUUCUGAAAAAGAUAAAACUAGCAAAUAGUCCCAACAACGUUAAUGGAUAUUUUUAUUAUGUAUAAAUAAUAAUGAGAGACAAAAAUCUUAUCCCUCUUUUCCCAUUAUUAGCAUUUUAAAAUGCACAAAACUUAAUAACACUCAUAAAAUGUCCCUAAA